GCCCAAGAGAUCGGGAUAACACCUGGAAACAGAUGCUAAUACCGGAUAACAACAGAUGAUGCCUAUCAACUGUUUAAAAGAUGGUUCUGCUAUCACUAUUGGAUGGACCUGCGGUGCAUUAGCUAGUUGGUAGGGUAACGGCCUACCAAGGCGAUGAUGCAUAGCCGAGUUGAGAGACUGAUCGGCCACAUUGGGACUGAGACACGGCCCAAACUCCUACGGGAGGCAGCAGAC
This 234-nucleotide ribosomal RNA is filed under the name uncultured Lactobacillus sp. RNAcentral describes it as "partial 16S ribosomal RNA". It matches the Rfam family "Bacterial small subunit ribosomal RNA", at positions 128 to 354 of the family's 1533-position model. The record is from RNAcentral. Lineage: Bacteria; Bacillati; Bacillota; Bacilli; Lactobacillales; Lactobacillaceae.